GUGGGUAAUCUGCCCUGCACUCUGGGAUAAGCCUGGGAAACUGGGUCUAAUACUGGAUAUGACCUUUCUCCUUAUGGGGUUUGGUGGAAAGUUUUUCGGUGUAGGAUGAGCCCGCGGCCUAUCAGCUUGUUGGUGGGGUGAUGGCCUACCAAGGCGACGACGGGUAGCCGGCCUGAGAGGGUGAUCGGCCACAUUGGGACUGAGAUACGGCCCAG
This 215-nucleotide ribosomal RNA is filed under the name uncultured Actinomycetales bacterium. RNAcentral's name for it is "partial 16S ribosomal RNA". It matches the Rfam family "Bacterial small subunit ribosomal RNA", at positions 117 to 334 of the family's 1533-position model. Lineage: Bacteria; Bacillati; Actinomycetota; Actinomycetes; Actinomycetales. The record is from RNAcentral.